UUGUUGUGGUAUUUUUCUUAAAGUCAUUUCUAACUUACAACAACCCUACGGUGAACCUAUCACUGGGUUCUCUCGGAAAAUUUUUUUCAGAGGGGUUGCCUUUCCCUUCUUCUCUGAGGCUAAGAGAGUGUGACUAGCCCAAGGGCACUCAGUGGGUUUCCAUGGUUGAGCAGGUAGGUAUUCAAGUUUAACACUCAGACCAUUAUACCACACUGGCUUGCCAAUGAAGGAAUGCCAGAUCCAGAAUAUGUGGCCCAGAAUGUCUUGUCAAAUAAGUGAAGAUGCUCAGAUGCAACUCUUGGUACAUAAGUUAUAAUCAUGCCCCAGUAGCCUCUUUGGCAUUGCAACAAAACCUGGAUGAUUGUCACACGAGAUAGAAAAUUUUAGGCCAGGAUUGGCUUCGUGUAACACCAGUUUUUGUUUUUUACAACUUUCUUAAUAGCUGUAGUGUUGCAUGCAUGCAUACAAACAAACCUGGGACAAAAGACUAAACCACAUCAAACUGGGAAAAGUAAAAAGCCUUAAGAGCUUUAUCCUCAAGCCCAGGCGUAUCCUGAUUGCUCUGAAUAUGGAACCUGCACUAUUUAAGCACAUUCAUCUGCCAUAACUCAACCCUGCAAGGUAUUUUAACCAUUGUUGGUUGGCUAGCAGUCAUGAAAAUGGGAAAAGUGCAAGCCUCUAAUUUGCUGGUGCUCACAAUGGGUAAUACUGAACAAAAGUUGUCUGUCUUUUGCUGGGACCAAGCUUGUCUUCUGAGAAUGGACAACUAUCCAUGUAAAAUGCUGUUUCUUUCAGUUCCAGUAAAUACUGUCACUGUUUAAAAUA
Molecule: long non-coding RNA, 825 nt
Organism: Sceloporus undulatus (fence lizard)
Lineage: Eukaryota; Metazoa; Chordata; Lepidosauria; Squamata; Phrynosomatidae
Exons: 2
Source: RefSeq, a predicted model, not a curated record